This 492-nucleotide ribosomal RNA is filed under the name uncultured bacterium. RNAcentral describes it as "partial 16S ribosomal RNA". It matches the Rfam family "Bacterial small subunit ribosomal RNA", at positions 29 to 507 of the family's 1533-position model. The record is from RNAcentral.
AGUGAACGCUGGCGGUAGGCCUAACACAUGCAAGUCGAACGGCAGCACAGUAAGAGCUUGCUCUUACGGGUGGCGAGUGGCGGACGGGUGAGGAAUACAUCGGAAUCUACUUUUUCGUGGGGGAUAACGUAGGGAAACUUACGCUAAUACCGCAUACGACCUACGGGUGAAAGCAGGGGAUCUUCGGACCUUGCGCGAUUGAAUGAGCCGAUGUCGGAUUAGCUAGUUGGCGGGGUAAAGGCCCACCAGGGCGACGAUCCGUAGCUGGUCUGAGAGGAUGAUCAGCCACACUGGAACUGAGACACGGUCCAGACUCCUACGGGAGGCAGCAGUGGGGAAUACUGGACAAUGGGCGCAAGCCUGAUCCAGCCAUACCGCGUGGGUGAAGAAGGCCUUCGGGUUGUAAAGCCCUUUUGUUGGGAAAGAAAAGCAGCAGGUUAAUACCCCGCUGUUCUGACGGUACCCAAAGAAUAAGCACCGGCUAACUUCGUG